RNAcentral lists this microRNA precursor (205 nucleotides) under Oryza sativa Japonica Group (Japanese rice). RNAcentral describes it as "MIR812 microRNA precursor family". It matches the Rfam family "MIR812 microRNA precursor family". Lineage: Eukaryota; Viridiplantae; Streptophyta; Magnoliopsida; Poales; Poaceae. The record is from Rfam by way of RNAcentral.
AAUAAGCACAGUUGUAAGUUUUAAUUCCAACUUUGACCAUUCAUCUUAUUUGAAAUAUUUUUAUAAUUAGUAUUUUUAUUGUUAUUAGAUGAUAAAAUAUAAAUAGGACUUUAUGCAUGACUUAACUUUUAAAUUUUUUUCAUAAAAUUAUCAAAUAAGACGGAUAGUCAAAUGUUGGGCACGAAAACUUAUGGCUGCACUUAUA